UACCUGUCAGCUUUGAGUGAGCGACCGGUUGGAAACAACCGAAAACAGUAACAGGAAUUGAACUGAAGAGUUUGAUCCUGGCUCAGAUUGAACGCUGGCGGCAUGCCUUACACAUGCAAGUCGAACGGCAGCACGGGCUUCGGCCUGGUGGCGAGUGGCGAACGGGUGAGUAAUACAUCGGAACAUGUCCUGUAGUGGGGGAUAGCCCGGCGAAAGCCGGAUUAAUACCGCAUACGAUCUAAGGAUGAAAGCGGGGGACCUUCGGGCCUCGCGCUAUAGGGUUGGCCGAUGGCUGAUUAGCUAGUUGGUGGGGUAAAGGCCUACCAAGGCGACGAUCAGUAGCUGGUCUGAGAGGACGACCAGCCACACUGGGACUGAGACACGGCCCAGACUCCUACGGGA
Molecule: ribosomal RNA, 402 nt
Filed under: Burkholderia pseudomallei MSHR6137
Lineage: Bacteria; Pseudomonadati; Pseudomonadota; Betaproteobacteria; Burkholderiales; Burkholderiaceae
Description: bacterial SSU rRNA
Rfam family: Bacterial small subunit ribosomal RNA (bases 60-402)
Source: RNAcentral